Molecule: ribosomal RNA, 280 nt
Filed under: uncultured bacterium
Lineage: Bacteria
Description: partial 16S ribosomal RNA
Rfam family: Bacterial small subunit ribosomal RNA
Source: RNAcentral
UCCUACGGGGGGCAGCAGUGGGGGAUAUUGCACAAUGGGGGGAACCCUGAUGCAGCGACGCCGCGUGGGUGAAGGAGUAUUUCGGUAUGUAAAGCCCUAUCGGCAGGGAAGAAAUUGGACGGUACCUGACUAAGAAGCCCCGGCUAACUACGUGCCAGCAGCCGCGGUAAUACGUAGGGGGCAAGCGUUAUCCGGAUCCACUGGGUGUAAAGGGAGCGUAGACGGCCAUGCAAGCCAGGGGUGAAAGCCCGGGGCCCAACCCCGGGACUGCCCUUGGAAC